Long non-coding RNA from Seriola aureovittata, 902 nucleotides. RefSeq lists it as uncharacterized. The record is from RefSeq and is a predicted model, not a curated record. The transcript has 3 exons. Lineage: Eukaryota; Metazoa; Chordata; Actinopteri; Carangiformes; Carangidae.
UCCCUCGCGAACACUGGCUUUCGGUAGAACAAUGUCGAAGGUACAGCGAAACACAGUAGUUGCUUUGUUGUUGGCUGCACAAACCAACACAGAAGUCUUUUUUUAAUCCCUACGCCCGAGGAUCUGAAGACCCAGUGGAUUAAUUUUAUUUUUGAUGGAAAUGUCCCCGCUCCAACUCCGAAAGUGUUGUACGUGUGUGCUAACCAUUUCACCUCGGACUGCUUUCUCAACGAGGGCCAGGACAACGCAGGAUUUCCUACAAGUCUCAAGAUAAAGCUUGGAUCAGUACCGACUGUCUGUGACCCAACUUUGAACUUCGGAGCUGCCAUCUAUACAGCUUCCUGCAACAGGGGAUGUUGCAUGCCAGACUGACCCACUGCAGGCACACAGUUAUCAUUGAAGAGUCUUCAGCCUCACAUCAGAAGUACAGGGAAUGUGGUGGACCUCAUAUUUGAAAAAGUCUUUGUGACCUGGGACCAUACACAGAAGCUGCUUUGGCCAUCCCCAUCCCAGAGGACCUCACUGCACAGUUCGAGCAGCCUGAGAAGGAGGAGGUCAUAUCCAGCUCUGUGUCCCGGUUCUAUCAUGGGCCAGUCUAAAACCCACAUACCGGCCUGUGGCGUCAGGAAACACGGCAUGGAUGCGUAGGACCACGCAGGCUGGAAUGACGACCCAGAUUCUGCAACCAAGGAAGCACCAGCUCACAAAGCUCCUAUAGGCGAGAUACCUGUACUGACUAAAACAACUGGACAGGGCAUUUAGUCUUGCAAACAUAUAUCUAUGUUGUGUCUCACAAUUUUUUAUAUGGAUCCAGUGAAUCCUACAGUUUUUUCAUCAUCACUGAUUAUAACUGCCUCAUUCGAUGUAAAUAAAUGCUUGAUUGUUACUAAAGAAAUGACUCC